AUACGUAGGGGGCGAGCGUUGUCCGGAAUGAUUGGGCGUAAAGGGCGCGUAGGCGGCGCGGUAAGUCUGGAGUGAAAGUCCUGCUUUCAGGGUGGGAAUUGCUUUGGAUACUGCCGCGCUUGAGUGCAGGAGAGGUUAUCGGAAUUCCCGGUGUAGCGGUGAAAUGCGUAGAAAUCGGGAGGAACACCAGUGGCGAAGGCGGGUAACUGGACGGCAACUGACGCUGAGGCGCGAAAGUGUGGGGAGCAAACAGGAUUAGAUACCCUGGUAGUCCACACUGUAAACGAUGAAUGCUAGGUGUAAGAGGUAUCGACCCCUUUUGUGCCGGAGUCAACACAAUAAGCAUUCCGCCUGGGGAGUACGGCCGCAAGGUUGAAACUCAAAGGAAUUGACGGG
Molecule: ribosomal RNA, 396 nt
Filed under: uncultured bacterium
Lineage: Bacteria
Description: partial 16S ribosomal RNA
Rfam family: Bacterial small subunit ribosomal RNA
Source: RNAcentral